RNAcentral lists this small nuclear RNA (96 nucleotides) under Nicotiana sylvestris (wood tobacco). The record is from RNAcentral. RNAcentral also lists the same sequence under 1 other name. Lineage: Eukaryota; Viridiplantae; Streptophyta; Magnoliopsida; Solanales; Solanaceae.
GUCCCUUCAGGGACAUCUGAUAAAAAUGGAAGACACAGAGAUUAGUGGCCAUGCACAAGGAUGACAUGCACAAAUCGAGAAAUGGUCCAAAUUUUG